RNAcentral lists this ribosomal RNA (463 nucleotides) under Streptomyces ginsengisoli. RNAcentral describes it as "bacterial SSU rRNA". It matches the Rfam family "Bacterial small subunit ribosomal RNA", at positions 28 to 508 of the family's 1533-position model. The record is from RNAcentral. Lineage: Bacteria; Bacillati; Actinomycetota; Actinomycetes; Kitasatosporales; Streptomycetaceae.
GACGAACGCUGGCGGCGUGCUUAACACAUGCAAGUCGAACGAUGAACCACUUCGGUGGGGAUUAGUGGCGAACGGGUGAGUAACACGUGGGCAAUCUGCCCUUCACUCUGGGACAAGCCCUGGAAACGGGGUCUAAUACCGGAUAUGAGCCUGGGAGGCAUCUCCCGGGUUGUAAAGCUCCGGCGGUGAAGGAUGAGCCCGCGGCCUAUCAGCUUGUUGGUGAGGUAAUGGCUCACCAAGGCGACGACGGGUAGCCGGCCUGAGAGGGCGACCGGCCACACUGGGACUGAGACACGGCCCAGACUCCUACGGGAGGCAGCAGUGGGGAAUAUUGCACAAUGGGCGAAAGCCUGAUGCAGCGACGCCGCGUGAGGGAUGACGGCCUUCGGGUUGUAAACCUCUUUCAGCAGGGAAGAAGCGAGAGUGACGGUACCUGCAGAAGAAGCGCCGGCUAACUACGUGC